AAGUUAAUGAACUUGAAAUAAGUCUAUAUUUUGAAAAUAUAAAAAAGAGAUAAAAUUCUCUAUUAACUU
This 69-nucleotide transfer RNA is filed under the name Altica cirsicola. Its description in RNAcentral is "tRNA-Ser". The record is from RNAcentral. Lineage: Eukaryota; Metazoa; Arthropoda; Insecta; Coleoptera; Chrysomelidae. RNAcentral also lists the same sequence under 2 other names.